AAAACAUUGGUGUAAUUUAGGGCUAUUUUGAAAUUAGUUCAUUAAGGGACCCAGCAAAUCCAUCCUGCUUCUAGUUGCUGCUGCUGCUGCUAAAUCACUUCAGUCGUGUCCGACUCUGUGCGACCCCAUAGACGGCAGCCCACCAGACUACCCAGUCCCUGGGAUUCUCCAGGCAAGAACACUGGAAUGGGUUGCCAUUUCCUUCUCCAAUGCAUGAAAGUGAAAAGUGAAAGUGAAGCCGCUCAGUCGUGUCCGACUCUUCGAGACCCCAUGGACUGCAGCCUACCAGGCUCCUCCGCCCAUGGGAUUUUCCAGGGAUUUUAUUUGUAAACUUUGAUUUCUUUCCACUGAGGGAGAUGGGAUAUUUUCAAACAUCUUCUCUUGGGUUGUGGCUGAUUUAUAGCAAUAGCAUUAACUCUCAUUAUACCUGGUGAUCCUCAAGCAAGAACAAAUCCCUC
Molecule: long non-coding RNA, 458 nt
Organism: Bos taurus (domestic cattle)
Lineage: Eukaryota; Metazoa; Chordata; Mammalia; Artiodactyla; Bovidae
Source: Ensembl